AUUGAACGCUGGCGGCAGGCCUAACACAUGCAAGUCGAGCGGAUGAAGGGAGCUUGCUCCUGGAUUCAGCGGCGGACGGGUGAGUAAUGCCUAGGAAUCUGCCUGGUAGUGGGGGAUAACGUCCGGAAACGGGCGCUAAUACCGCACACGUCCUGAGGGAGAAAGUGGGGGAUCUUCGGACCUCACGCUAUCAGAUGAGCCUAGGUCGGAUUAGCUAGUUGGUGGGGUAAAGGCCUACCAAGGCGACGAUCCGUAACUGGUCUGAGAGGAUGAUCAGUCACACUGGAACUGAGACACGGUCCAGACUCCUACGGGAGGCAGCAGUGGGGAAUAUUGGACAAUGGGCGAAAGCCUGAUCCAGCCAUGCCGCGUGUGUGAAGAAGGUCUUCGGAUUGUAAAACACUUUAAGUUGGGAGGAAGGGCAGUAAGUUAAUACAUUGCUGUUUUGACGUUACCAACAGAAUAAGCACCGGCUAACUUCGUG
This 484-nucleotide ribosomal RNA is filed under the name uncultured bacterium. RNAcentral describes it as "partial 16S ribosomal RNA". It matches the Rfam family "Bacterial small subunit ribosomal RNA", at positions 30 to 507 of the family's 1533-position model. The record is from RNAcentral.